AAUAACUAUUAUUAGUCUAUGAUUUCUUUUGCAGUGGUUAUUUGGCUCCCGAAUAUGCGAUUAGGGGCAAGUUAACACGAAAAGCUGAUAUAUAUAGUUUCGGUGUUCUCCUCCUUGAAAUUGUGAGUGGAAGAUGCAACACAAACAAAAAAUUACUACCUGCAGAACAAAAUCUUCUUGAAAAGGCGUGGAUAAUGUACGAGAAAGAUAAGCUGGUUCAGUUGGUGGAUACGUCACUCGAAGAAGGGGACCCGUGUACCGAAGAGGCGUGCAAAUAUAUAAAGAUUGGACUUUUAUGCACACAAGAUAUGCCGAAAAAUCGUCCCACAAUGUCUAUUAUCGUAAAUAUGCUCAAAGGCGAGAUAAAUGUGGACGAAGUGAAGAUUUCAAAGCCGGGAUUGCUUAAGGAGCUAAUGAAUAUGAAGGGGUCGAGUGACGCACAGUCGUCUGCGUGGGGCACACAAGAUAAGUCUUCAUCCUCAAUUGGAACUAUGACUUUCACUUCGAUAUUUGAUCGAAGUAAUUGAGUCUCGAAUCUUCUGACAAUUGGAAAAAAAAAAAAACUAUUUUUUUAACUGUUCUUGAAGUGUGAACCGACUCCAUUGGUGAAGAUUAGUAGAUGAUUGUUGUUAUUUUGCUUUUUGUAACUCGUCGAAGUUGGGGGGAAAUAUAGUUAAUUUCAGUUGAAUAUUUGAAAUUAUACGGAAACUAGUAAAUAAUCAAAGGUUUUUAUUGCAAGGAUGCUGUAGGUAUAAUGUGUAGUAACUGUUUCAGUUAUUCCGGUUAGCGUUUUUUUUUUGGACGAAACUCCGGUUAUAGUGUAAUAUUUUGGUUAGUUGUUAUCGUGAUUUUUUUUUAUUUGUUU
Molecule: non-coding RNA, 865 nt
Organism: Erythranthe guttata (spotted monkey flower)
Lineage: Eukaryota; Viridiplantae; Streptophyta; Magnoliopsida; Lamiales; Phrymaceae
Source: RefSeq, a predicted model, not a curated record